RNAcentral lists this unclassified non-coding RNA (253 nucleotides) under uncultured Planctomycetia bacterium. RNAcentral's name for it is "contains 16S-23S intergenic spacer region". It matches the Rfam family "Bacterial small subunit ribosomal RNA", at positions 524 to 776 of the family's 1533-position model. Lineage: Bacteria; Pseudomonadati; Planctomycetota; Planctomycetia. The record is from RNAcentral.
GACGAACCGUGCAAACGUUGUUCGGAAUCACUGGGCUUAAAGGGCGCGUAGGCGGGCUUUCAAGUCGAGGGUGAAAUCUUGCGGCUCAACCGUAAGAGGGCCCUCGAUACUGGGAGCCUCGAGGGAGGUAGGGGUCGAUGGAACUUCCGGUGGAGCGGUGAAAUGCGUAGAUAUCGGAAGGAACGCCGGUGGCGAAAGCGAUCGACUGGAUCUCUUCUGACGCUGAGGCGCGAAAGCCAGGGGAGCGAACGGG